CGCGAGUGUUCGAGAGAAACAGCUGGCGUUGGUGUGACGGCGUAUCAGCGGGGGUUGCCAUUCAGGCUGCUGAAAUCUCGGCGGGCUGCAGCUUUCAUUCUGUGGUCUUGCCGCGACCUCCCCUGGGCGCUUCAGCGCUCUCUCUAAAAGAGUGUUUCCAAAAAUUCUAAAAGAGCUAUUUCUAAAAGAGCUUCACGAGCGACGGGCGUCUUUUUAAAGAUGGCUUCCCGCUCGUGCGUUUCUGGAUGCGGUCGUUUCCUGCCUUCAUCUGACGGUCAUGAUCACUGCCUCUCGUGCUUGGGCUUACAGCACGCUGAAGCAGCGCUCAUGGAUGAGUCAUGUUCUCACUGCGGGAACAUGACCAUCGCGACAUUGCGGUCCAGAUACCUCCUCAUUAAACGGGGGGGUAUCCCCCUUGCCAUGCCCCGCUCUAGCUCCUCUGGUUCUCGGAGGGCUACUUCGGUUCAUGGUCAGGGAGACCUGAGGGUUACAGUGAGAGCUUCCCCGUCGAGUACGUCUCCGCGGGCCUCUCAUUCCUCGAGCAUGUCGCACCACCUGGUGCUUCCGGACGAGCGUGCUGGGUCCUCGGACAGGGCGGGGUCUAGCAUCUUGUGCGGGGCACAGGCAGAGGACAGGAUGUCGGUCGCUGCAUCGGAGGGCGAGCUAGGCUCUGGAGAUGAGGAUUCGGCUGCGCUGCCACCGUCAGGUAGAGUGGCGUUGCCCGAGUCAGAUCCAGAGCUGACCGCUAUGCUUUCCCGGGCCGCUGAGAGCGUCGGGCUGCACUGGAGGCCUCCGCCUUCUCCCGAACGCUCGAGGCUGGAUGAUUGGUUCCUGGGGGCGCAGGCCGGGCGUCGGCAGCCACCUCCGGUUCCAUUCUUCCCGGAAGUGCAUGAGGAGGUUACAAAGUCUUGGAAGGCACCUUUUUCUGCCCGAAACAGACUUGGUGCCUCCUCCGUCCUCACCACCCUCGACGGGGGGGCGGCCCAAGGGUAUGUGGACAUCCCUCCGGUCGAGCGCGCGAUUGCCAUGCAGCUCUGCCCGCAAAGCGCCGCCGCCUGGAGAGGUAGUCCACGCCUUCCGUCCAGGGCCUGUAAGUUCUCGUCCGCUCUGACGGCUAAGGCUUACAGUGCCGCUGGACAGGCCGCUUCCGCCCUGCACGCCAUGGCCCUCCUGCAAGUCCACCAGGCCAAGGCGUUGAAGCAGUUGCACGAGGGUGGUGCUGACUCAGGUGUGCUGCAGGAACUGCGCACCGCGACGGACCUCGCGCUUAGGGCGACGAAAGUCACGGCGCAGGCCCUGGGUCAGACGAUGUCCACAUUGGUGGUCCAGGAGCGCCACCUAUGGCUGACCUUGGCGGAUAUGAGGGAGCCCGACAAGCAUCGCUUCCUGGACUCCCCGAUCUCCCAGGCCGGCCUAUUCGGCGAAGCGGUGGAGGGCUUUGCCCAACAGUUCUCCACCGCACAGAAGCAGACGGAGGCGUUCCGACACAUCCUGCCCCGGCGGUCUGCUGCUGUCCGCACCCCACCGCCGGCUGCAGCCCCUCUGUCUGCUCG
Molecule: long non-coding RNA, 1553 nt
Organism: Sinocyclocheilus grahami
Lineage: Eukaryota; Metazoa; Chordata; Actinopteri; Cypriniformes; Cyprinidae
Source: Ensembl